This 460-nucleotide ribosomal RNA is filed under the name uncultured bacterium. RNAcentral describes it as "partial 16S ribosomal RNA". It matches the Rfam family "Bacterial small subunit ribosomal RNA", at positions 338 to 795 of the family's 1533-position model. The record is from RNAcentral.
CCUACGGGCGGCAGCAGUGAGGAAUAUUGGUCAAUGGACGAGAGUCUGAACCAGCCAAGUAGCGUGAAGGAUGACUGCCCUAUGGGUUGUAAACUUCUUUUAUAUGGGAAUAAAACGUUCCACGUGUGGGAUUUUGUAUGUACCAUAUGAAUAAGGAUCGGCUAACUCCGUGCCAGCAGCCGCGGUAAUACGGAGGAUCCGAGCGUUAUCCGGAUUUAUUGGGUUUAAAGGGAGCGUAGGUGGAUUGUUAAGUCAGUUGUGAAAGUUUGCGGCUCAACCGUAAAAUUGCAGUUGAAACUGGCAGUCUUGAGUACAGUAGAGGUAGGCGGAAUUCGUGGUGUAGCGGUGAAAUGCUUAGAUAUCACGAAGAACUCCGAUUGCGAAGGCAGUUCACUGGACUGCAACUGACACUGAGGCUCGAAAGUGUGGGUAUCAAACAGGAUUAGAUACCCGAGUAGUC